CGUAGGAAUCUACCUAGUAGUACGGAAUAGCCAUUAGAAAUGAUGGGUAAUACUGUAUAAUCCCCGCGGGGGAAAGAUUUAUCGCUAUUAGAUGAGCCUACGUUAGACUAGCUAGUUGGUAAGGUAAUGGCUUACCAAGGCUAUGAUCUAUAGCUGGUCUGAGAGGACGAUCAGCCACACUGGAACUGAGAUACGGUCCAGACUCCUACGGGAGGCAGCAGUGGGGAAUAUUGGACAAUGGGCGAAAGCCUGAUCCAGCUAUGCCGCGUGAGUGAAGAAGGCCUUCGGGUUGUAAAACUCUUUCAAUAGGGAAGAUAAUGACGGUACCUAUAGAAGAAGUCCCGGCAAACUCUGUGCCAGCAGCCGCGGUAAUACGGAGGGGGCAAGCGUUGUUCGGAAUUAUUGGGCGUAAAGGGCACGUAGGUGGACUAGUAAGUUAAAAGUGAAAUACCAAAGCUUAACUUUGGAGCGGCUUUUAAUACUGCUAGACUAGAGGUCGAAAGAGGAUAGCGGAAUUCCUAGUGUAGAGGUGAAAUUCGUAGAUAUUAGGAGGAACACCAGUUGCGAAGGCGGCUAUCUGGUUCGAUACUGACACUGAGGUGCGAAAGCGUGGGGAGCAAACAGGAUUAGAUACCCUGGUAGUCCACGCUGUAAACGAUGAGUGCUAAAUGUGAGGAUUUUAUCUUUGUAUUGUAGCUAACGCGUUAAGCACUCCGCCUGGGGACUACGGUCGCAAGACUAAAACUCAAAGGAAUUGACGGGGACCCGCACAAGCGGUGGAGCAUGUGGUUUAAUUCGAUGCUACGCGAAAAACCUUACCACUUUUUGACAUGAAGGUCGUAUCCCUCCUAACAGGGGGAGUCAGUUCGGCUGGACCUUACACAGGUGCUGCAUGGUUGUCGUCAGCUCGUGUCGUGAGAUGUUGGGUUAAGUCCCGCAACGAGCGCAACCCUCAUUCUUAGUUACCAACAGGUAAUGCUGGGCACUCUAAGGAAACUGCCAGUGAUAAACUGGAGGAAGGUGGGGAUGAUGUCAAAUCAGCACGGCCCUUAUAAGGUGGGCUACACACGUGCUACAAUGGCAACUACAAUAGGUUGCGAGACCGCAAGGUUUAGCUAAUCCAUAAAAGUUGU
This 1133-nucleotide ribosomal RNA is filed under the name uncultured Ehrlichia sp. Its description in RNAcentral is "bacterial SSU rRNA". It matches the Rfam family "Bacterial small subunit ribosomal RNA", at positions 116 to 1286 of the family's 1533-position model. Lineage: Bacteria; Pseudomonadati; Pseudomonadota; Alphaproteobacteria; Rickettsiales; Anaplasmataceae. The record is from RNAcentral.